Grus americana (Whooping crane) is the source of this 346-nucleotide long non-coding RNA. RefSeq lists it as uncharacterized. The record is from RefSeq and is a predicted model, not a curated record. The transcript is spliced from 3 exons. NCBI's taxonomy places the organism in Eukaryota, Metazoa, Chordata, Aves, Gruiformes, Gruidae.
GCCUGGACCAUAAGAUCCUUCAUCCACAUAACAGAACAACAGAUGAGACCUGAAGGUAAACCAAAGCAUCUUUAUGCCAGAGGAAAAAGGAGCCAAGUUCCUGCAUCACUGUGCGGCUUUUGGUAUCGUAGUCCACAGUGAAUUUAGUGCUGGUGAAAGGUUCCAGAUUGACAGCCCUGGAGACAGGAGCUGAUUGCUUAUCCACAUAAUAGGUACAGAGCUGAAACCACCUGGAUGCCUGGACAAUCAUCAGCUGGCAACAACGCUCAGACACCAACAACCCAAGAUGACAACGUAGUUACAGGAAAGCUAAUGAUACGUGGUACUAAAGUUACCCAAGUCCCUG